CCGGAAUUAUUGGGCGUAAAGCGCGCGCAGGCGGUUUCUUAAGUCUGCUGUGAAAGCCCACGGCUCAACCGUGGAGGGUCAUUGGAAACUGGGGAACUUGAGUGCAGAAGAGAAAAGCGGAAUUCCACGUGUAGCGGUGAAAUGCGUAGAGAUGUGGAGGAACACCAGUGGCGAAGGCGGCUUUGUGGUCUGUAACUGACGCUGAGGCGCGAAAGCGUGGGGAGCAAACAGG
Molecule: ribosomal RNA, 232 nt
Filed under: uncultured bacterium
Lineage: Bacteria
Description: partial 16S ribosomal RNA
Rfam family: Bacterial small subunit ribosomal RNA
Source: RNAcentral